RNAcentral lists this non-coding RNA (29 nucleotides) under Mus musculus (house mouse). Lineage: Eukaryota; Metazoa; Chordata; Mammalia; Rodentia; Muridae. The record is from RNAcentral.
UGCAGGAUGCCUUGUUUUCUUAUGCGGUA